CCUGAUCCAGCCAUGCCGCGUGAAGGAAUAAGGUCCUAUGGGUCGUAAACUUCUUUUGACGCAGAGCAAUAAGGGACACGCGUGUUCCGAUGAGAGUAUGCGUCGAAUAAGCAUCGGCUAACUCCGUGCCAGCAGCCGCGGUAAUACGGAGGAUGCGAGCGUUAUCCGGAUUUAUUGGGUUUAAAGGGUGCGUAGGCUGUUGGAUAAGUCAGCGGUGAAAUCACCACGCUUAACGUGUUGUGUGCCGUUGAAACUGUCCAGCUUGAAUGCGCUCGUCGUGAGAGGAAUGUGUGGUGUAGCGGUGAAACGCAUAGAUAUCACACAGAACACCGAUUGCGAAGGCAUCUCACGAGGGCGCUAUUGACGCUGAUGCACGAAAGCGCGGGUAUCGAACAGGAUUAGAUACCCUGGUAGUCCGCGCUGUAAACGAUGAUGACUAACCGUUGGUCUGGUAUGGAUCAGUGGUCAAGCGAAAGCGUUAAGUCAUCCACCUGGGGAGUACGGCCGCAAGGCUGAAACUCAAAGGAAUUGACGGGGGCCCGCACAAGCGGAGGAACAUGUGGUUUAAUUCGAUGAUACGCGAGGAACCU
This 590-nucleotide ribosomal RNA is filed under the name Bacteroidetes bacterium oral taxon 281. Its description in RNAcentral is "bacterial SSU rRNA". It matches the Rfam family "Bacterial small subunit ribosomal RNA", at positions 382 to 971 of the family's 1533-position model. Lineage: Bacteria; Pseudomonadati; Bacteroidota. The record is from RNAcentral.